RNAcentral lists this ribosomal RNA (393 nucleotides) under uncultured soil bacterium. Its description in RNAcentral is "bacterial SSU rRNA". It matches the Rfam family "Bacterial small subunit ribosomal RNA", at positions 26 to 444 of the family's 1533-position model. The record is from RNAcentral.
AGAACGAACGCUGGCGGCAUGCCUAAUACAUGCAAGUCGAACGAACACUUCGGUGUUAGUGGCGCACGGGUGCGUAACGCGUGGGAAUCUGCCCUUGGGUUCGGAAUAACAGUUGGAAACGACUGCUAAUACCGGAUGAUAUCGAAAGAUCAAAGAUUUAUCGCCCAGGGAUGAGCCCGCGUAGGAUUAGCUAGUUGGUGAGGUAAAGGCUCACCAAGGCGACGAUCCUUAGCUGGUCUGAGAGGAUGAUCAGCCACACUGGGACUGAGACACGGCCCAGACUCCGUACGGGAGCAGCAGUAGGGAAUAUUGGACAAGUGGGCGCAAGCCUGAUCCAGCAAUGCCGCGUGAGUGAUGAAGGCCGUUAGGGUUAGUAAGUCUACUUUACCCGAG